Molecule: ribosomal RNA, 716 nt
Filed under: bacterium enrichment culture clone SC-1_42
Lineage: Bacteria
Description: bacterial SSU rRNA
Rfam family: Bacterial small subunit ribosomal RNA
Source: RNAcentral
UAGAGUUUGAUCCUGGCUCAGAAUCAACGCUGGCGGCGUGCCUAACACAUGCAAGUCGCACGAGAAAGGGGCUUCGGCUCUGAGUACAGUGGCGCACGGGUGAGUAACACGUGAAUCAUCUACCUUCGAGUGGGGAAUAACCUCGGGAAACCGAGGCUAAUACCGCAUAACACCUACGGGUCAAAGCAGCAAUGCGCUUGAAGAGGAGUUCGCGGCAGAUUAGUUAGUUGGCGGGGUAAUGGCCCACCAAGACGAUGAUCUGUAUCCGGCCUGAGAGGGCGCACGGACACACUGGAACUGAAACACGGUCCAGACUCCUACGGGAGGCAGCAGUGGGGAAUUUUGCGCAAUGGGGGAAACCCUGACGCAGCAACGCCGCGUGGAGGAUGAAAUCCCUUGGGAUGUAAACUCCUUUCGAUCGGGACGAUUAUGACGGUACCGGAAGAAGAAGCCCCGGCUAACUUCGUGCCGGCAGCCGCGGUAAUACGAGGGGGGCAAGCGUUGUUCGGAAUUAUUGGGCGUAAAGGGCGCGUAGGCGGUUUGGCAAGUCUCUAUGUGAAAUCUCUGGGCUCAACCCAGAGUCUGCAUGAGAAACUGCCGGGCUUGAGUAUGGGAGAGGUGAGUGGAAUUUCCGGUGUAGCGGUGAAAUGCGUAGAUAUCGGAAGGAACACCUGUGGCGAAAGCGGCUCACUGGACCAUAACUGACGCUGAGGCGC